AUUGAACGCUGGCGGCAGGCCUAACACAUGCAAGUCGAGCGGUAGCACAGAGAGCUUGCUCUCGGGUGACGAGCGGCGGACGGGUGAGUAAUGUCUGGGAAACUGCCUGAUGGAGGGGGAUAACUACUGGAAACGGUAGCUAAUACCGCAUAACGUCGCAAGACCAAAGAGGGGGCCCUUCGGGCCUCUUCCCAUCAGAUGUGCCCAGAUGGGAUUAGCUAGUAGGUGGGGUAACGGCUCACCUAGGGGACGAUCCCUAGCUGGUCUGAGAGGAUGACCAGCCACAAUGGAACUGAGACACGGUCCAGACUCCUACGGGAGGCAGCAGUGGGGAAUAUUGCACAAUGGGCGCAAGCCUGAUGCAGCCAUGCCGCGUGUAUGAAGAAGGCCUUCGGGUUGUAAAGUACUUUCAGCGGGGAGGAAGGUGUUGAGGUUAAUAACCUCAGCAAUUGACGUUACCCGCAGAAGAAGCACCGGCUAACUCCGUGCCAGCCGCCGCGGUAA
Molecule: ribosomal RNA, 504 nt
Filed under: uncultured bacterium
Lineage: Bacteria
Description: partial 16S ribosomal RNA
Rfam family: Bacterial small subunit ribosomal RNA
Source: RNAcentral